GUGGGGAAUAUUGGACAAUGGGCGAAAGCCUGAUCCAGCCAUGCCGCGUGUGUGAAGAAGGUCUUCGGAUUGUAAAGCACUUUAAGUUGGGAGGAAGGGCAGUAAGUUAAUACCUUGCUGUUUUGACGUUACCGACAGAAUAAGCACCGGCUAACUUCGUGCCAGCAGCCGCGGUAAUACGAAGAGUGCAAGCGUUAAUCGGAAUUACUGGGCGUAAAGCGCGCGUAGGUGGUUUUGUAAGUUGGAGGUGAAAUCCCCGGGCUCAACCUGGGAACUGCCUCCAAAACUGCAUGACUAGAGUACGGUAGAGGGUAGUGGAAUUUCCUGUGUAGCGGUGAAAUGCGUAGAUAUAGGAAGGAACACCAGUGGCGAAGGCGACUACCUGGACUGAUACUGACACUGAGGUGCGAAAGCGUGGGGAGCAAACAGGAUUAGAUACCCGAGUAGUCC
This 450-nucleotide ribosomal RNA is filed under the name uncultured bacterium. Its description in RNAcentral is "partial 16S ribosomal RNA". It matches the Rfam family "Bacterial small subunit ribosomal RNA", at positions 354 to 796 of the family's 1533-position model. The record is from RNAcentral.